GUAGGUGGCAAGCGUUGUCCGGAAUUAUUGGGCGUAAAGCGCGCGCAGGCGGUCCUUUAAGUCUGAUGUGAAAGCCCACGGCUCAACCGUGGAGGGUCAUUGGAAACUGGGGGACUUGAGUACAGAAGAGGAAAGCGGAAUUCCAAGUGUAGCGGUGAAAUGCGUAGAGAUUUGGAGGAACACCAGUGGCGAAGGCGGCUUGCUGGUCUGUAACUGACGCUGAGGCGCGAAAGCGUGGGGAGCAAACAGGAUUAGAUACCCUGGUAGUCCACGCCGUAAACGAUGAGUGCUAAGUGUUAGGGGGUUUCCCGCCCCCCUUAGUGCUGCAGCUAACGCAUUAAGCACUCCGCCUGGGGGAGUACGGCCGCAAGGCUG
RNAcentral lists this ribosomal RNA (375 nucleotides) under uncultured organism. RNAcentral describes it as "partial 16S ribosomal RNA". It matches the Rfam family "Bacterial small subunit ribosomal RNA", at positions 527 to 896 of the family's 1533-position model. The record is from RNAcentral.